AAAUAAGCCAACAGCCAACAGCUUUGUUUAUUACAACGUUUUUUUCAAUUUACAAUGUUGUUUGUCCAGACACCAUUUAUAGCUAUAAAAACUUUGCUUUGCAA
This is a long non-coding RNA of Rhagoletis zephyria (snowberry fruit fly), 104 nucleotides long. RefSeq lists it as uncharacterized. Lineage: Eukaryota; Metazoa; Arthropoda; Insecta; Diptera; Tephritidae. The record is from RefSeq and is a predicted model, not a curated record.